UUUCCCUUAAAAGAAUAUUUCUUUGAAGUUCCAAUCAUUCUCACAAAGUAAUUAUACCCUUGGAGUAAAAUAACAAAAAUUUGUUUUUUCUUUUCACACAAAUAACCAGAGGCCAAAAGGCCUCCAAAAAUGUCUGAUGAUAACACCCGCCAUGCCCACCCACAUCCUUCCACAAGAAACGCCUAAGUAACAGCUUUUUAGCAUAAAUUUCCAGUUACAUGGCAGGAAGUCGUCGUGCGUCAGUUGCUUGCCACAAUUUCCAUUAGCAGCAAACGCCACAUGUGACGUUCCCGCUGCCAGGACAUUUGACAUUUUAAGGAGCGCCAAGAGCGAGUGGCCCACAGGUAAGCCCCAGAAGUCGCAGACCUGCCCCGACCUGACAUGUCAACUGUGUAUAGCACGCACAAUUUGAGCUGAAAUUCUCAAAGCAUGACCAAGGAAGAGCAAACAAAUGCAAGGAAAAAACCUGCAACGGCGCUGCCAAGUCCCAGUUCUCAGCCCUCUAUCUCCCUGUUAUUUCCAGAGGUUACCGUAUCCCCUGUUGCCCUGCACACCUGUGGUAAACGCUCAAAUUUCAAUGAAAUGUUGAAAUAGAAAUUAAAUGCCAGACCGCAUUUUAGACUAAUGCCAAAAUUGCGCGCUCCCAACGUGCUCGUAUCAGCUUACGGCAGCAACAGCAUCCCUCGCCUCCCACUCCAAGGUACAGGUAUCCUGUUUAUGGCAGCCAGCCUGAAUCAACCACAACAUAUACACCUAUUUCCUCUGUGCAACGCGUUGUCACAUGAGACGCUUGCCAAAAUAAAUAAAAAUAUGUA
Molecule: non-coding RNA, 815 nt
Organism: Drosophila virilis
Lineage: Eukaryota; Metazoa; Arthropoda; Insecta; Diptera; Drosophilidae
Source: RefSeq, a predicted model, not a curated record